UACGUAGGUGGCAAGCGUUGUCCGGAAUUACUGGGUGUAAAGGGAGCGUAGGCGGGAACGCAAGUUGAAUGUGAAAUUUACGGGCUCAACUCGUAACUGCGUUCAAAACUGUGUUUCUUGAGUUAAGUAGAGGCAGGCGGAAUUCCCUGUGUAGCGGUGAAAUGCGCAGAUAUAGGGAGGAACACCAGUGGCGAAGGCGGCCUGCUGGGCCUUUUACUGACGCUGAGGCUCGAAAGCGUGGGUAGCAAACAGG
This 253-nucleotide ribosomal RNA is filed under the name uncultured bacterium. RNAcentral describes it as "partial 16S ribosomal RNA". It matches the Rfam family "Bacterial small subunit ribosomal RNA", at positions 524 to 776 of the family's 1533-position model. The record is from RNAcentral.